RNAcentral lists this ribosomal RNA (1252 nucleotides) under uncultured bacterium. RNAcentral's name for it is "bacterial SSU rRNA". It matches the Rfam family "Bacterial small subunit ribosomal RNA", at positions 134 to 1381 of the family's 1533-position model. The record is from RNAcentral.
GACUUUGGGAUAACUUCAGGAAACUGGGGCUAAUACCGGAUAGGAGCUCCUGCUGCAUGGUGGGGGUUGGAAAGUUUCGGCGGUUGGGGAUGGACUCGCGGCUUAUCAGCUUGUUGGUGGGGUAGUGGCUUACCAAGGCUUUGACGGGUAGCCGGCCUGAGAGGGUGACCGGCCACAUUGGGACUGAGAUACGGCCCAGACUCCUACGGGAGGCAGCAGUGGGGAAUAUUGCACAAUGGGCGGAAGCCUGAUGCAGCAACGCCGCGUGCGGGAUGACGGCCUUCGGGUUGUAAACCGCUUUCGCCUGUGACGAAGCGUGAGUGACGGUAAUGGGUAAAGAAGCACCGGCUAACUACGUGCCAGCAGCCGCGGUGAUACGUAGGGUGCGAGCGUUGUCCGGAUUUAUUGGGCGUAAAGGGCUCGUAGGUGGUUGAUCGCGUCGGAAGUGUAAUCUUGGGGCUUAACCCUGAGCGUGCUUUCGAUACGGGUUGACUUGAGGAAGGUAGGGGAGAAUGGAAUUCCUGGUGGAGCGGUGGAAUGCGCAGAGAUCAGGAGGAACACCAGUGGCGAAGGCGGUUCUCUGGGCCUUUCCUGACGCUGAGGAGCGAAAGCGUGGGGAGCGAACAGGCUUAUAUACCCUGGUAGUCCACGCUGUAAACGGUGGGUACUAGGUGUGGGGUCCAUUCCACGGGUUCCGUGCCGUAACUAACGCUUUAAGUACCCCGCCUGGGGAGUACGGCCGCAAGGCUAAAACUCAAAGGAAUUGACGGGGCCCCGUCACAAGCGGCGGAGCAUGCGGAUUAAUUCGAUGCAACGCGUAGAACCUUACCUGGGUUUGACAUGGAUCGGGAGUGCUCAGAGAUGGGUGUGCCUCUUUUGGGGUCGGUUCACAGGUGGUGCAUGCCUGUCGUCAGCUCGUGUCGUGAGAUGUUGGGUUAAGUCCCGCAACGAGCGCAACCCUUGUUCACUGUUGCCAGCACGUUAUGGUGGGGACUCAGUGGAUAUCGCCGGGGUCAACUCGGAGGAUAGUGGCGAUGACGUUCAGUCCUCUUGCCCCUUAUGUCCCGGGUCUUCACGCAUGCCUACAAUGGCUGGUACAGACAGUUGGCUAGCCUUGUGUAGGCCGCAUCGAACCUCGUCAAACCCCGUCUCAGUUCCUAAUGGGGGUCCUGCACCUCAACCUCUUGAAGGCCAGAAUUCCCUAGAAAACCUAAAAUCAACCAACGUUGCGCGUAAAUACGUUCCAGGGGCC